ACUCCUACGGGAGGCAGCAGUGGGGAAUAUUGCACAAUGGGGGAAACCCUGAUGCAGCCAUGCCGCGUGUGUGAAGAAGGCCUUCGGGUUGUAAAGCACUUUCAGUAGGGAGGAAGGUAGUGUAGUUAACACCUGCAUUAUUUGACGUUACCUACAGAAGAAGCACCGGCUAACUCCGUGCCAGCAGCCGCGGUAAUACGGAGGGUGCGAGCGUUAAUCGGAAUUACUGGGCGUAAAGCGCAUGCAGGCGGCCUGUUAAGUCAGAUGUGAAAGCCCGGGGCUUAACCUCGGAAUUGCAUUUGAAACUGGCAGGCUAGAGUCUUGUAGAGGGGGGUAGAAUUUCAGGUGUAGCGGUGAAAUGCGUAGAGAUCUGAAGGAAUACCAGUGGCGAAGGCGGCCCCCUGGACAAAGACUGACGCUCAGAUGCGAAAGCGUGGGGAGCAAACAGGAUUAGAUACCCU
This 461-nucleotide ribosomal RNA is filed under the name uncultured bacterium. Its description in RNAcentral is "bacterial SSU rRNA". It matches the Rfam family "Bacterial small subunit ribosomal RNA", at positions 335 to 788 of the family's 1533-position model. The record is from RNAcentral.